RNAcentral lists this ribosomal RNA (462 nucleotides) under uncultured Bacillota bacterium. RNAcentral describes it as "bacterial SSU rRNA". It matches the Rfam family "Bacterial small subunit ribosomal RNA", at positions 347 to 823 of the family's 1533-position model. Lineage: Bacteria; Bacillati; Bacillota. The record is from RNAcentral.
GGCAGCAGUAGGGAAUCUUCCGCAAUGGACGAAAGUCUGACGGAGCAACGCCGCGUGGGUGAAGAAGGCCUUCGGGUUGUAAAGCCCUGUCUUCAGGGAAGAAAAAAAUGACGGUACCUGAGGAGGAAGCCACGGCUAACUACGUGCCAGCAGCCGCGGUAAUACGUAGGUGGCAAGCGUUGUCCGGAAUUAUUGGGCGUAAAGGGCGCGUAGGCGGUUAUUUAAGUCAGGUGUGAAAACUCUGGGCUUAACCGAGAGAUUGCAGUUGAUACUGGGUAACUUGAGUGCAGGAGAGGACAGUGGAAUUCCUAGUGUAGCGGUGAAAUGCGUAGAUAUUAGGAGGAACACCAGUGGCGAAGGCGGCUGUCUGGACUGUAACUGACGCUGAGGCGCGAAAGCGUGGGGAGCAAACAGGAUUAGAUACCCUGGUAGUCCACGCCGUAAACGAUGAGUACUAGGUGU